GCUACAGGCUUAACACAUGCAAGUCGAGGGCAGCAUGUGGUUGCUUGCAACCAAUGAUGGCGACCGGCGCACGGGUGAGUAACGCGUAUCCAACCUUCCCCUUAGUAGAGGAUAGCCCGGCGAAAGUCGGAUUAACACUCUAUGUUGUAUUUUGAUGGCAUCUGACGAAUACCAAAGAUUUAUCGCUAAGGGAUGGGGAUGCGUCUGAUUAGGUUGCAGGCGGGGUAACGGCCCACCUGGCCUACGAUCAGUAGGGGUUCUGAGAGGAAGGUCCCCCCACACUGGUACUGAGACACGGACCAGACUCCUACGGGAGGCAGCAGUGAGGAAUAUUGGUCAAUGGGCGCGAGCCUGAACCAGCCAAGUAGCGUGCAGGAUGACUGCCCUAUGGGUUGUAAACUGCUUUUAUCAGGGAAUAAAGUGAGGCACGCGUGCCUUUUUGUAUGUACCUGAUGAAUAAGGACCGGCUAAUUCCGUGCCAGCCGCUGC
Molecule: ribosomal RNA, 489 nt
Filed under: uncultured bacterium
Lineage: Bacteria
Description: bacterial SSU rRNA
Rfam family: Bacterial small subunit ribosomal RNA
Source: RNAcentral